Molecule: small nuclear RNA, 123 nt
Filed under: Neogale vison (American mink)
Lineage: Eukaryota; Metazoa; Chordata; Mammalia; Carnivora; Mustelidae
Description: Neovison vison (American mink) U4 spliceosomal RNA (ENSNVIG00000007245.1)
Rfam family: U4 spliceosomal RNA
About the family: U4 small nuclear RNA (U4 snRNA) is a component of the major U2-dependent spliceosome. The structure of U4 snRNA from yeast and human has been reported.
Source: Rfam by way of RNAcentral
AGUUUUGUGCAGUGGCAGUAUCGUAGCCAAUGAGGUUUAUCUGAGGUGCGAUUAUUGCUAAUUGAAAAGCAAAAGAAAUCUGACUAUUAAACUUACUAAGAUAUUAUCAUCUACAUCCCUGUG